This 167-nucleotide ribosomal RNA is filed under the name Escherichia coli. Its description in RNAcentral is "partial 16S ribosomal RNA". It matches the Rfam family "Bacterial small subunit ribosomal RNA", at positions 1 to 161 of the family's 1533-position model. Lineage: Bacteria; Pseudomonadati; Pseudomonadota; Gammaproteobacteria; Enterobacterales; Enterobacteriaceae. The record is from RNAcentral. RNAcentral also lists the same sequence under 2 other names.
AAAUUGAAGAGUUUGAUCAUGGCUCAGAUUGAACGCUGGCGGCAGGCCUAACACAUGCAAGUCGAACGGUAACAGGAAACAGCUUGCUGUUUCGCUGACGAGUGGCGGACGGGUGAGUAAUGUCUGGGAAACUGCCUGAUGGAGGGGGAUAACUACUGGAAACGGUA